UGGUUCAAGUGGACAUGACCA
RNAcentral lists this non-coding RNA (21 nucleotides) under Arabidopsis thaliana (thale cress). Lineage: Eukaryota; Viridiplantae; Streptophyta; Magnoliopsida; Brassicales; Brassicaceae. The record is from RNAcentral.